UUCUGUGGGUCCCAGCUAGGUCAUCGUCUUCAAACCAGGCACGAAGCGACGCACACGGACGAACCACUGCUGCGUUUUCAGUUUCUUGCGUUUACUCUCCAAUUGAUUCCGGGCGUUUUAAGCCACCAUUUGAUGCACCGUUUGUUGCUACUUAAGCUCCACUCUCUUCUCUUUAUUUUCCCCCAAACGGCGCUUUCUGAGAGCCGCCAGGCUGCUCGAAUUUUGCCUCGCAUGUCCACAGUAUCAUCGCGGUAAAUCGUCGAUUGCGCGCACCACAGCGACAACGCCAUAUUCGGCUAUAGUCCGCGGAAAGAGUCGCCGGCGAGCGAUUUCCGGCGAAACAGUGCGCCUCUACGUCCAGGACUUCUUCCCCAGCCAUUCUCGACAACAGGACUCAUCUGUUUGUGGUUGCUCCAAUUGCAACGAGUGUUUUUGCGAAGAGUGUACCAACUCAUCCCCUCGCUAAGG
Lolium perenne is the source of this 468-nucleotide long non-coding RNA. RefSeq lists it as uncharacterized. The record is from RefSeq and is a predicted model, not a curated record. NCBI's taxonomy places the organism in Eukaryota, Viridiplantae, Streptophyta, Magnoliopsida, Poales, Poaceae.